GACGAACCGUACGAACGUUAUUCGGAAUUACUGGGCUUAAAGGGUGCGUAGGCUGCGCGGAAAGUUGGGUGUGAAAUCCCUCGGCUCAACCGAGGAACUGCGCUCAAAACUACCGUGCUCGAGGGAGACAGAGGUGAGCGGAACUUAGGGUGGAGCGGUGAAAUGCGUUGAUAUCCUAAGGAACACCCGUGGCGAAAGCGGCUCACUGGGUCUCUUCUGACGCUGAGGCACGAAAGCUAGGGUAGCGAACGGG
Molecule: ribosomal RNA, 253 nt
Filed under: uncultured bacterium
Lineage: Bacteria
Description: partial 16S ribosomal RNA
Rfam family: Bacterial small subunit ribosomal RNA
Source: RNAcentral